GGCUCGCUGGGGCGGAAGGAACCUGUAGCCGGGGGGCAGUGCAAGAAGUGGGUGUGGGCGCCGAGGGGGGUGGAGGUAUGGACCUGCGCCGGAUUGGGAUUAGUCGGCGGCGGGAUCUGAAGCAGGAAGACGAGAAGCAUGGCCAUCCCCGUGCGUCGAUGCGGCCGGGAGAGAUAGAAGGGGAUAGGGAAGAAGACAGGGAAAAAAGAAAAAAAGUGAGGGCACGGAGGUACGCGAGGCGUGCGAUACAUCUCGAUCGCGUGGCUCGUGCGGGACCAGCCGAAGUAUCGGCCGGCGCACGGUACACAAACACUUCCCUUUGGGAUUUCAGUGAAUCUGCGCUAAGGACAUGUAUAAUGAUGCUAUCUUAGAAGUGUCACGUAAAAUAAAUAAUGAGAUGGAGAAGAGAGAACUCAUAAAAAAAGACUUGUCUUCUCUUAUUUAAGAGAAGACAAAAGACGAUUUCUUAGCACAAUAUGUAUCACCAUGUUUUUAGAAAUAGCUAGUUAUUAAAAAUAAGACUAAAAAAUGAUCGGCAAUUUUUUUAUCAUUUCUAAAUUACAUGACUUAAAAUAAAACUAUCUUAUGAUCUUAUCAACAUAUCCUAAACUAAACCGGAUCCAGCCCGAUCACCGGCCACCUCCACUCGCUUUUGAUUCUCGCCGCCCACCCGUCCCCGCAAAGCAUAAUCAUGCCUUGCCAAACACGCGGCCACGCCAGCGCGGCGAAGCCGUAUCCGGCUAGGAGCCGGUUGGUGCCUGGCCGAGGCCGGCUCCCCCUCCCCAACCGCCUACAAAAGGCGCCCAGGUGCGCCCCCUCCACCCCGCGCUCCGGCCUCCCCCCUCUCUCUCUUUGGAGCCUUCGUUCCUGCCGCGCCUCCGCCCUCGAUCGCCUCCUCGCGUCUCCGCGACUGUUUCCGUCCCCUUGUCCAUCAAAUCUCGAUUCGUUUGGUUUAACGAUCGAUGGUGGAUUCCAGUUUCUCGUGCUCGGUCAGAUCGGUUCCUGGUUCCGCCACCUGCCUGCCUCCGUCGGUGAUUUUGAGAUUUGAAUUGAUUGAUUGAAUUUAACACGAGGUGGAUUCGAGGCCCUCGUGGAUUCUUGCUGUACCGGCUGAUCUAGCUUGCUUUUGGUGCAUGCAUGUGCUCUCAUCCUAGAUGCAGAACCAAGAGGGCGAGCGCUAGUUCCGAAGAGAUGAUAAUAGAUGAAGGGGGUGGAGGUUUGAUUUCUAUUCAUGGUUGUUUUGAUUGAUUGGUUACAGUCCAACGGUUAUUCUGAUAUGGUUAGAUCUUCUCGGAUGAUCAAGCUUUCAAUCUCUUACCAACUAGGCUGGAAUAUCUCCAAUCCCUCCUAUGUACAAUUCUGAUUUGGACAUUUUGCUAGUUGUCCAGAAAGUGGGAUGACAGGGCCUGAUGGGAGCCACUCAUCUUCUUGCUGACCUGGGCGUGUUUGGAUGGUCACUCUCUGUUUAAUUUGUUCUUCUCCACAAUUCAAUUAGUCUCCCAACAACUCUGAUUGUCAUUUGUUGCUGGCUCUCCAGAGCGGGCGGUACUAUUUUGGCUCGGCAUGGCGUUUCUUCCUUCUUAUGGGGUUCAACUUUCUGAACCUUUCUUGUUGAUUAUAAUAACUCAUCUGACAGUAGUUUCCCCUGCCUUAGUCAUUCAGAUAGUGUCUUGCAAGAGAUAUAAUCGGAACUGUGUUGUCUACCUGACCUUCCCAGUCGAGACAGGCUUACUUUAUUUUAUCUUCAACUCAUCGUUUAAUCUAGUUUUCUUCCUAACUGAAACAUUUAUUUAUCGAAAGGUAUCUUGCUCCUUCAGGAACUCAAGGCCACCAACCUGAUGCUGAGUUUGCAGUUCUUCUAAAUCUAUCUUCUCCUUAACUUAGAAAAUAUAAUACGAAGAUUUCUUACUAGGCAAUAUUUCGAAUUCAGAUUUAGCUGCAAAGGUGCAAGAAUGAAGCUUCGAACAAGUGGCACAUCGUACAACCGGAAAAAACUUAACCUCUUAUCCUCUUAUUUUUAUUUAAUUCAGCUACAUGUUCAUAUCUUUGAUUUUGGUUUUUUGCUUCUGCCUUCCAUGUCGUUGCAGAUUUGUUUUGGCCCAAAACAAUGCUGGUAGUGAGUCUGAACCUGUAAAAAUCGUCUGGUUUGCCAUCUAUCUCUUUGUCUGGAUCCCUGCGUUGGUCUUCCUGCCCAUUGCUAUCUGAUAUAUUUAUAGGAAGUUUGGUUCUACAUGCAAACUUGUGCUUUGUAUACGUGUCACGGUGUCAGGUCAGUGUCUUGACUGUUGGUUCAUUUGUGUUGGCUUCCAUGGGUUGGUUGCAGGACUGGAUCUGGUAUGUGGAGAUCCUUGGGGUGUUUUAUGUCUAAGAGAUUUGAGGCAGGUCAGAUUUGAAUGGUUAUCGCUCGUGUGGUCUUCUGGUUCUCAUCACGAGUUCCAACAUCAUCAGCUAAUAUGAGGUGGAUCCAAGGUCCUGGAGGAUUCUUAUUGUAGCAGCUCAUCUCGCUUUUGGUGUGUGUUUGUGCUCCUUUAGAUGCAGCAGAAGCAAGAGUGUGCAGAGAUGAGUCAAAGGGUGGAGGUUUGGUUUCCUUUAGAUGAACAAAUGGUCAGAUCUUCCCGGAGGACAAUGUUUUGGUGUUCAACUGAAGUUUUGGAUCGCUCAUCAACCUAGAACUUGUGAUCCGUGUUUGGAUGAUCAAAUUCUCGAUUCCUCUGACUUUUAACUUAUUCAUUUUCAAAGUACAAUAAUUUACUCUCCAGAGGUUCUGAUUUGGAUUAUUAUUUGUGGAUCUCCAGAAAUUUGGAUUUGGCUUAGCAUCGGGGGUGACUUGUCGUCUUCUUUCUGAUUUGCUUUGGAUGAAUCAUUACUUCCUCCAUUUCAUUCAUUUCUCUCCACAGCUCACCUUCUGUCUACGACAAUUCUGAUUUGCAUUUGUUGGUUCUUCAGAAUUUAGGGUUAUACGGCUUAGAGGGAGCACCUAUCAUCUUGGUGAUCUGCGUUGGAUGAUUAUUACCUUCUUAGUUUAAUUUUUUCUUCUCCAGAGUUCAAUUAGUCUCCCAACAAUUCUGAUUGUGAUCUGUUGAUGGUUGUCCAGAAAUUGGAAUUACAGGGCCUAGCGGGUGGAGAGCGGCGUUGCAGAGGCCGAGUGUCAGGUAGCUCGGUAUCCCCUUCGUGGGAAAGGACUUCGCGAUUCCUUCUUGUCAGGCGUUUCCGAGUAAUUCUCCGGCGCCCUCCCACCCUGACAAGUCAAACCAUCAUCAAUUUUCUCAACAGUGGCGACCUGCGAAAAGGAGUGAUGGCCCAUCUAAUAACUUGUACCUGUCCCUUCAACUGUUGGCGAACAGUGGAAUACGGUGAUAUACGGAUUGCUGGAAAUUGCAAUACGACUGACAACACAUAUCCCAAUGCUAGUUGGGUGGGGUGGAUUCCGUGCUGCCUGCAGACCGGCCUCUGCAACGUUUUUUCGCUAGCGGGUGGUCCUAUUUUGCCUCGGCAUGGCGGUUCUUUUUCUGUUCGUCGACUUUCCUGACCUUUCUUAUUCAAUAUAAUUGAACUCUCCAGACAUUUGUAUUUUCUCUGCUCUUAGUCGGUAAUUCUCAGUUCUUGCAGAUACUGGCUUCGAUAAUUGCAGUUUGGAACCGGUGUGGUAACCCGUCAUCCCUACCCCCAACCGAGACAUGCUUAGUUAAUCUUUACAUCCUCAUUGUUUGAUGCAUGCUUUAGCUGAGCCGAGUUUUUCCUAACUUGUAGAAAGGUAUCUUCCUCGGUGCAGGUCAUAGUUGAUGAAUUCAAGUCCAAUCUGGUGCUGGGCUGCAGUUCUUCUAAAUCUACCAUUUUUUUAACUCAUCAUAAGUUAGAUAACCUUUAAAGUUAUCUCCCUUUGUUUUAGUCUCUCCACCGUUUUGUUUUGGUGCCCCAAAAUUCUGAUUUAAACUACUUCUUCGUGGCUUACAGAAAUUGGAAUAAUAUGGCUUAGAAGGCGGUCCUAUUUUUCCUCAACAUGGCGGUUCCUUCUGUGGCUCAAAACUUUUUCAACCUUCCUUACUUAAAUCUCAUGGCAUUAGGUUUUCUCUGCCUUAGUGGGUAAUUCUCAGCUCUUGCAGAUAUUGACUUGGAAAGGAUAUCCUGCAGUUUGGAACUGGUGUUGUUAUCGUCCGUCAACCAUAGCUGAACUUCCUAUCUGAAACAGGCUUACUUGUUCCCACCCAUCAUUUGAUCCAUACUUUAGCUAUUUAUAAGUAACAUUUUCCCCUAACUGAAAAUUUAUAGAAAGGUCUCUUGCUCGUUACAGGUUGUAGUUGACGAACUCAAGCCCAACCUGAUGAUGAAUCUGUUUGCAGAUCUUCUAAAUCUAGUAUUGUUUCAAUUCAUUGUUACUUACAUGACCUACACAUUAUUUUACUAGGCAAUAUUUUGUAAUACAGAUUCAUAUGCAGAGGUGCAUGAAUCUAAGGAUAAUCCGAAGCUUUCGACUAAUGGCACAUCCUACAACCGAAAAAGACUCUUGCCAUCCCUUUUUUUAAAUUUCAUUUAGCUACUUGGCCAUGUCUUUGAUAUAGGUUUUUGCUCCUGCCCUUCCUGUGCUUGCAGAUUUUUCUUUAGCCCAGGCCAUGUGGGUAAUGACGUGGAAUCUGUUAAAUAUUUUGGUUUGCGAUCUAGCGCUCCGUUGUUCGAUUUGUUAUCUUAACUCUUGAUCCUUGUGUUCUAUUGGUCUUCUGCAAGUGCGGGUUGCAGGAUAUAAUAGUUAGGAGUUUGUACCCAAACCUUUGCUUUGUACAUGGAGUCAGUUCAGUGUCUUGUAGAUGGUCUGUUUCAUUUGCUAUCGCCGCCUCCAUGAGUUGGCUUGCAGGACUGGAUCUGGAUCUGGAUCUGAAUCUGGUCUGGACAUGUAGCUCCCUAUGGUGUAUAACAGUAUGGUGAAGGGGUUUUGAGGCAGGUCAGUUUCCCAUGUUUGGUCACAUUGGUUUACUGGAUCCCUCAUCUGUGCUCGGCGACGAAAGAUUUGAGUGGCUACCUUAAGUUCUUCGAUUUGUCUUCGUCUAAUGGCUCAUCAGUAUCGUUGUCCCUAGAUAUGAGGUGGAUUCUCGUUGGUUCUCGUUGUAACAGCUGAUCUUGCUUGUGGUAUGUGUUUGUGCUCCUUGAGAUACAGGAUGUUGUGGAGUGAUGAAUCAAAGGAUCAAGGUUUGCUUUACUGUCCGUGGUUAUUUUGAUUGGCUCAAUGGAUGGUUAUAAGCUAGGAUCUUGUGUGCUGAAGUUUUCGUUUUGGAUUGAAGCUGUGGAUUGGAUAGUUAACCAUGGGAUGGGGAUCAGAGAAUUUUCAAACAGUGUUUAUAAUCGAUCCUCCUCGAUUUAGUGUCUUUGUUUUGCACAGUCAAAUUUAGCUUACAACAUCUCCGAUAUGGAUUGUUCUCCAGCUAUUGGACUUAUGGGGACUUUCUGGAAGGUGCCCUGUUUUGUUUCACCAUGUUAUAGACGGUUUCUUCUGUUGACUUCAAUCUUUCCUGAUUUGCUUUGAACAUUGUACUCCUAUGGUUUUCUCUGCCCUUGGUAACGUGUCCUUGCAGAUAUUGACAUGGAUGAGAGAAUUUAGUUUGCUAUCUGGAACUGGUGUUGUUGCCUAACUGAUAUUGACAUGGUUAUAAUGCAUUAUUUAGCUGUUUCAAGUAGCUUUGUCUCCCCACAGCGAAAAUUCAUGGGAAGGUCUCUUGGUCGUUGCAGGUCCUAAUUGACUAUUUAGGUCCAACCUGAUGUGGAGUUAUCUGUUUGAAGAUCUUCUAAACCCUACAACUUUCCAAUUCAUGAACAUUCAGAUUGAUUUGGUGGAUGUAUAAGAUUUGAAGGUUGCUCCGGGGCUUCAGUCUAGAUUGGACAUCCUACAACCGAAAAAAUUCAGUGCUCUCAACAACCAAAAAAUUAUCUUAUGCUGAGUUAUCUCCUGAAGAAACUUCUGUUGUCUUGGUUGCCUUUCGCUUGUAGGAUUGAUUGUGGUUUUUCCUCCUGCUUUCCUGUGGUUGCAGAUCAAGCCAUGCUGGUAGCGAUUCAAAAUAUGUUACCUUUUUGGUUUCUGAUCCUCUCUGUGGUUUACUUUGUUAUAUCUGUACUCCCCAUCCAUGUGAUUCUGUUGGCCUGGUGGGCUUGUUCUUUGCAGUAUAUGUUGGAAUUGUUGUGUGUUCCCUGUAGAGUCAUCUCAGUGUCUGGUCUGCUCUCAAUGCAAUAAUUAGCUUUGUUCCUCCUCCAAUCUCCAAUGGCUAAUCAACGAUUCUGUCUAUCACGUAAUACAAGGUGAAUUUUAUCUCGUUUAUGUAUGCACCUUUGUUGGAGAUCGUAUUGAAGGGUAGAGAGUGAUUCAUGGUUGUUCUUUAGCUCUUCGGAUGAUAUCUUAAGUUUGAGAUAAGAAUUGUUGGUCAUGCCUGCAUGGUUGAGGAUUCAUAAGUGUCAUGAGGCGUGACUGGACUGUUCGGAUAUACUCUCCUCCUAUUUGAUUUCUCCAUGUGAACAGUUUGGUCUCUGUUCUGAGUAUUAUUUGGAUUUUUGGUUGUUCUCCAGCAUUUGAAUGGUGCAGAACUCUAGGAGAUUCUUCAUGAUUCGAUCUUGUCAAACUUCUCUCUGAGUGACAGCUUUCAGUUUGAACUUGCAUUCAGUGGUAGUUUGGAGUUAGUAGUGUGCACAUCUGAUUUUUUUCAACCAUCCUGAAGGAUCUUACUUGGUUUCUGCUUCAACUUGCAUGUGGUUUGGACGGAUCGCAUGUUUUGCUCCGAAUCAACAAAAUACUAGAAGUAAAACAAUGGUUCUAGGAAGUUUAAUAUUAAUGAUGUCCUAGGAAGUUCCUUUAUUAGUCUCAAACAUCAGUUCAUACUCAAAGUUUCUAUAGCAGAUUAUCAAAUUUUGAUUUGGCUGUAUUAUUACUUGGUUGUCAUACUGUUUCCAGAAGUUGGGUUUUAAUAUUAGGUUGCUUGUAUCUAUAAUUUUAUCUCUAGUAUCUUUAGCUUGCAAAUUUAUCACCUAAUACAUGUACAUGAGCUCUGACUGCAGUAAAAGAUUUGUCGGUCUACUGUUCUACAUAUUCUUGUCCACACUUGGUUUGUUUAUUUAACUAUUUUCCUGGUGAAUUCUUUAUGAUCAUCUUAUGACAGACAAAGAAUUUUUGGUGUGCACAGAUUUUUAACUUCGGUGAUAAAGAAGAUCCCACCUAGUUUGCGGCUCUCGCACUUUAGUUGGUUUAACAGUAGUGGCCUCCUGACUUGUAGUUAGGUAAUGUUGAUGACUUGAUAUGCAGAAAGAGGCUAAGGAAUUAUUGCCAUAUACUAAAACAAUGGAGAGUUGAAGGUUCUGAACUGGAAGCUUGAAACUCUACUCCUGAUGUCAUCUCAACUAAUUAUGAUUCCGGUUUGGUGGUAUGGAAUUGAUUUUCAGAAAAUGAUGUUCUUCUCAUUGGUGCUUCUCCAGUGAGACCUGCAUUACAUAUCUUCCACUAUGCAUCUUCUCGGUUUGCUAGGGAACUUCCUAGUUGUAGUUUGACAACUAGCAAAACAGUCCUGCCAAUUUGAUGAUUCCUCCUGAUUGUGUACUUUCAACUCAAGUAGCUCAUAUUCCUGGAUUAAAGAGAAAAAGCGUUCACACAUCUUACCGUCUUCUAAUGGCUAAUUUGAUCUGGUUUAUGGGAUCUUCAACUACAUAUUCUCAAAUCUUUAAUUACAUAAUCUCGGUUUUCUGGGAACUCCCUAAUUUCAAUUUGCUUGGCAACUAGCAAAAAUACUAAUUUGACGAUUCCUGUGAAUUGCAUACUCUUAACUCCAGCUAUACAUAUGCCACACAUUAUAUUUCAUAGUCAAUACAUUAUCCUGGAUUUUUAAGAUACAAAAGUAUCUCCUCUGACCCUAUAAUGGGAUAAAACUGCAAAAGAUAAUCAUCCUCUAGAUGUUGGUAUAUAUUCUUAUUGUCAAGAUUAAAGGUUUGGAUCACCCACUACCACUAUAUAAAUUAAUUACUCUCAUUCAGGUCCUGUAAUUUACAGCUUUGUUUGUUUGUGCCCCUAUGUCUGUCUUAUGAUCUUGUGCAGAUAUUUAUUGCCUAUGCAUAGCUGAAAUAAUUGGUUAUAGUGUUUGCUAAUUUUUGUGUUCUGUAGUUUUGUAGUUUAACACUGCCUUUGCGGGUCCCAAGCCCGGAUGAGAAAAUGUGGAGGGAACUCUGAACUUGCAUGGCCUCCAAAUAUUUGAAAUUGAGUAACAGUGAAUGAAGUGAGUAGAAAUUACAGUACUUACUGGCCUAAUCGAAUAGUGAAUGGUCGUCACAAUGGUCGCUCUCGGAUCCGUCGUCGGGGCUGCGCGGGGGCCCAGCGGCGCUUGGAUCCGUCGUCGGGCGGCAAACCGGACGCGCCGCGCGGUGUGCAUCGCCGCCGGGUCUGGCGCCACAACGCGCUCCGUGCGCGGGAAGGGGAUCCGACCCUCGAACCUGUCCUCGAUAGAUUCACGGGGACGAAGAAGUAGCCGGAGUGCAGAAACGACGAACCAGAGCUGUGUGGCGGCAGCAUUGGCGUCGUCAACGGAGACCCCGGCUGUGUGAGACGCAUACGGUGGGCCGGUGGCCCCCCUGCUUCUUCUUUUUUUUGUUAUUAUAGGUCAGGUCAAGUUGUUUUGCCCCAUCAGCACUUACAGCAGGCCCCAUCUGUCAGAUAUAUGGUGUUAACACGCGUCUUCUCUGUUCGAAGUGUUGACGGCAAGAGGAAUCGGAACCAGUGGCUAAAAUGGAUUGCUUUCA
Molecule: non-coding RNA, 8757 nt
Organism: Triticum urartu
Lineage: Eukaryota; Viridiplantae; Streptophyta; Magnoliopsida; Poales; Poaceae
Source: RefSeq, a predicted model, not a curated record